UUGAUCUGUAGCUCAACUGGCAGAGCACCCGGCUGUUAACCGGGUCGUUGGAGGUUCGAGUCCUCCCAGAUCAGCCAU
RNAcentral lists this transfer RNA (78 nucleotides) under Mycobacterium phage Hercules11. RNAcentral describes it as "tRNA-Asn". It matches the Rfam family "tRNA". Rfam says of the family: Transfer RNA (tRNA) molecules are approximately 80 nucleotides in length. Their secondary structure includes four short double-helical elements and three loops (D, anti-codon, and T loops). Lineage: Duplodnaviria; Heunggongvirae; Uroviricota; Caudoviricetes. The record is from RNAcentral.